RNAcentral lists this long non-coding RNA (476 nucleotides) under Homo sapiens (human). RNAcentral's name for it is "LHRI_LNC1861.1". Lineage: Eukaryota; Metazoa; Chordata; Mammalia; Primates; Hominidae. The record is from RNAcentral.
GUGCGGUCUGCUUUGGUGACCCCACUGAAGUCGAACGUGGUGAUACGGGACAGGGUGCACAGCACAUAUUGCCUGUGGGGAAGACUUAGGCUGGGGGCCAGCACCCCCACCAGAAUCCCCUUCCCCCUCCACUAGUUGCUGUUGUCUUCCCUGACUGCAAGGAAUGGAGGGACUUGAGCAUAGUUUGGGAAAGAUUAGGUUUAUCCUGACUGAGAGCAAGGAAUGCUUAGAGGUCUGUUACUCCCUUCCCAGGUCCAAGCAUGGCAGAAGAAUGGUCGUAGAUUUCUUGUUUCUCCUCCUCCUUUCCUUUAGGGGAGCCCAGCUAGACGCUACCUCCAGGGGCAGGGCACUUACCUAUACCCUUUCUCUUCCUCCAUGGGGUUCCCAUGGAGUGUCAGGCUACGGAGCCGAGGAAGGACAGCCAGCUUAUUCACCUCCCCCAGGCGCUGGAUGCUGUUGCCGUGAAGAUAGAGGAC